Molecule: ribosomal RNA, 2898 nt
Filed under: Klebsiella pneumoniae
Lineage: Bacteria; Pseudomonadati; Pseudomonadota; Gammaproteobacteria; Enterobacterales; Enterobacteriaceae
Description: 23S ribosomal RNA
Rfam family: Bacterial large subunit ribosomal RNA
Source: RNAcentral
GGUUAAGCGACUAAGCGUACACGGUGGAUGCCCUGGCAGUCAGAGGCGAUGAAGGACGUGCUAAUCUGCGAAAAGCGUCGGUAAGGUGAUAUGAACCGUUAUAGCCGGCGAUGUCCGAAUGGGGAAACCCAGUGCAAUUCGUUGCACUAUCGUUAACUGAAUACAUAGGUUAACGAGGCGAACCGGGGAACUGAAACAUCUAAGUACCCCGAGGAAAAGAAAUCAACCGAGAUUCCCCCAGUAGCGGCGAGCGAACGGGGAGCAGCCCAGAGUCUGAAUCAGCUUGUGUGUUAGUGGAACGGUCUGGAAAGUCCGACGGUACAGGGUGAUAGUCCCGUACACCAAAAUGCACAGGCUGUGAACUCGAAGAGUAGGGCGGGACACGUGGUAUCCUGUCUGAAUAUGGGGGGACCAUCCUCCAAGGCUAAAUACUCCUGACUGACCGAUAGUGAACCAGUACCGUGAGGGAAAGGCGAAAAGAACCCCGGCGAGGGGAGUGAAAAAGAACCUGAAACCGUGUACGUACAAGCAGUGGGAGCACCUUCGGGUGUGACUGCGUACCUUUUGUAUAAUGGGUCAGCGACUUAUAUUCUGUAGCAAGGUUAACCGUAUAGGGGAGCCGCAGGGAAACCGAGUCUUAACUGGGCGUUAAGUUGCAGGGUAUAGACCCGAAACCCGGUGAUCUAGCCAUGGGCAGGUUGAAGGUUGGGUAACACUAACUGGAGGACCGAACCGACUAAUGUUGAAAAAUUAGCGGAUGACUUGUGGCUGGGGGUGAAAGGCCAAUCAAACCGGGAGAUAGCUGGUUCUCCCCGAAAGCUAUUUAGGUAGCGCCUCGUGAACUCAUCUUCGGGGGUAGAGCACUGUUUCGGCUAGGGGUCAUCCCGACUUACCAACCCGAUGCAAACUACGAAUACCGAAGAAUGUUAUCACGGGAGACACACGGCGGGUGCUAACGUCCGUCGUGAAGAGGGAAACAACCCAGACCGCCAGCUAAGGUCCCAAAGUCAUGGUUAAGUGGGAAACGAUGUGGGAAGGCACAGACAGCCAGGAUGUUGGCUUAGAAGCAGCCAUCAUUUAAAGAAAGCGUAAUAGCUCACUGGUCGAGUCGGCCUGCGCGGAAGAUGUAACGGGGCUAAACCAUGCACCGAAGCUGCGGCAGCGACACUAUGUGUUGUUGGGUAGGGGAGCGUUCUGUAAGCCUGCGAAGGUGUGCUGUGAGGCAUGCUGGAGGUAUCAGAAGUGCGAAUGCUGACAUAAGUAACGAUAAAGCGGGUGAAAAGCCCGCUCGCCGGAAGACCAAGGGUUCCUGUCCAACGUUAAUCGGGGCAGGGUGAGUCGACCCCUAAGGCGAGGCCGAAAGGCGUAGUCGAUGGGAAACAGGUUAAUAUUCCUGUACUUGGUGUUACUGCGAAGGGGGACGGAGAAGGCUAUGUUAGCCGGGCGACGGUUGUCCCGGUUUAAGCAUGUAGGCUGGUUGUCCAGGCAAAUCCGGAUAAUCAAGGCUGAGGUGUGAUGACGAGGCACUACGGUGCUGAAGUAACAAAUGCCCUGCUUCCAGGAAAAGCCUCUAAGCAUCAGGUAACAUCAAAUCGUACCCCAAACCGACACAGGUGGUCAGGUAGAGAAUACCAAGGCGCUUGAGAGAACUCGGGUGAAGGAACUAGGCAAAAUGGUGCCGUAACUUCGGGAGAAGGCACGCUGGUGUGUAGGUGAAGUCCCUGCGGAUGGAGCUGAGACCAGUCGAAGAUACCAGCUGGCUGCAACUGUUUAUUAAAAACACAGCACUGUGCAAACACGAAAGUGGACGUAUACGGUGUGACGCCUGCCCGGUGCCGGAAGGUUAAUUGAUGGGGUUAUCCGUAAGGAGAAGCUCUUGAUCGAAGCCCCGGUAAACGGCGGCCGUAACUAUAACGGUCCUAAGGUAGCGAAAUUCCUUGUCGGGUAAGUUCCGACCUGCACGAAUGGCGUAAUGAUGGCCAGGCUGUCUCCACCCGAGACUCAGUGAAAUUGAACUCGCUGUGAAGAUGCAGUGUACCCGCGGCAAGACGGAAAGACCCCGUGAACCUUUACUAUAGCUUGACACUGAACAUUGAGCCUUGAUGUGUAGGAUAGGUGGGAGGCUUUGAAGCGUGGACGCCAGUCUGCGUGGAGCCAACCUUGAAAUACCACCCUUUAAUGUUUGAUGUUCUAACGUUGGCCCCUUACCGGGGUUGCGGACAGUGUCUGGUGGGUAGUUUGACUGGGGCGGUCUCCUCCCAAAGCGUAACGGAGGAGCACGAAGGUUAGCUAAUCCUGGUCGGACAUCAGGAGGUUAGUGCAAUGGCAUAAGCUAGCUUGACUGCGAGCGUGACGGCGCGAGCAGGUGCGAAAGCAGGUCAUAGUGAUCCGGUGGUUCUGAAUGGAAGGGCCAUCGCUCAACGGAUAAAAGGUACUCCGGGGAUAACAGGCUGAUACCGCCCAAGAGUUCAUAUCGACGGCGGUGUUUGGCACCUCGAUGUCGGCUCAUCACAUCCUGGGGCUGAAGUAGGUCCCAAGGGUAUGGCUGUUCGCCAUUUAAAGUGGUACGCGAGCUGGGUUUAGAACGUCGUGAGACAGUUCGGUCCCUAUCUGCCGUGGGCGCUGGAGAAUUGAGGGGGCUGCUCCUAGUACGAGAGGACCGGAGUGGACGCAUCACUGGUGUUCGGGUUGUCAUGCCAAUGGCACUGCCCGGUAGCUAAAUGCGGAAGAGAUAAGUGCUGAAAGCAUCUAAGCACGAAACUUGCCCCGAGAUGAGUUCUCCCUGAGACUUUAAGUCUCCUGAAGGAACGUUGAAGACGACGACGUUGAUAGGCCGGGUGUGUAAGCGCAGCGAUGCGUUGAGCUAACCGGUACUAAUGAACCGUGAGGCUUAACCUU